This 1174-nucleotide ribosomal RNA is filed under the name Massilia sp. BAB-3568. Its description in RNAcentral is "bacterial SSU rRNA". It matches the Rfam family "Bacterial small subunit ribosomal RNA", at positions 239 to 1407 of the family's 1533-position model. The record is from RNAcentral. Lineage: Bacteria; Pseudomonadati; Pseudomonadota; Betaproteobacteria; Burkholderiales; Oxalobacteraceae.
GAUUAGCUAGUUGGUGAGGUAAAGGCUCACCAAGGCGACGAUCAGUAGCUGGUCUGAGAGGACGACCAGCCACACUGGAACUGAGACACGGUCCAGACUCCUACGGGAGGCAGCAGUGGGGAAUUUUGGACAAUGGGCGCAAGCCUGAUCCAGCAAUGCCGCGUGAGUGAAGAAGGCCUUCGGGUUGUAAAGCUCUUUUGUCAGGGAAGAAACGGCUGUGGCUAAUAUCCACGGCUAAUGACGGUACCUGAAGAAUAAGCACCGGCUAACUACGUGCCAGCAGCCGCGGUAAUACGUAGGGUGCAAGCGUUAAUCGGAAUUACUGGGCGUAAAGCGUGCGCAGGCGGUUUUGUAAGUCUGACGUGAAAGCCCCGGGCUCAACCUGGGAAUUGCGUUGGAGACUGCAAGGCUUGAAUCUGGCAGAGGGGGGUAGAAUUCCACGUGUAGCAGUGAAAUGCGUAGAGAUGUGGAGGAACACCGAUGGCGAAGGCAGCCCCCUGGGUCAAGAUUGACGCUCAUGCACGAAAGCGUGGGGAGCAAACAGGAUUAGAUACCCUGGUAGUCCACGCCCUAAACGAUGUCUACUAGUUGUCGGGUCUUAAUUGACUUGGUAACGCAGCCUAACGCGUGAAGUAGACCGCCUGGGGAGUACGGUCGCAAGAUUAAAACUCAAAGGAAUUGACGGGGACCCGCACAAGCGGUGGAUGAUGUGGAUUAAUUCGAUGCAACGCGAAAAACCUUACCUACCCUUGACAUGUCAGGAACCUUCGAGAGAUUGAGGGGUGCUCGAAAGAGAGCCUGAACACAGGUGCUGCAUGGCUGUCGUCAGCUCGUGUCGUGAGAUGUUGGGUUAAGUCCCGCAACGAGCGCAACCCUUGUCAUUAGUUGCUACAUUUAGUUGGGCACUCUAAUGAGACUGCCGGUGACAAACCGGAGGAAGGUGGGGAUGACGUCAAGUCCUCAUGGCCCUUAUGGGUAGGGCUUCACACGUCAUACAAUGGUGCAUACAGAGGGCCGCCAACCCGCGAGGGGGAGCUAAUCCCAGAAAGUGUAUCGUAGUCCGGAUCGCAGUCUGCAACUCGACUGCGUGAAGUUGGAAUCGCUAGUAAUCGCGGAUCAGCAUGCCGCGUGAAUACGUUCCCGGGUCUUGUACAACACCGCCGUCACACCAUGG